GUAGGGUCCCGUGGGCGAACCCUGGGCUCAGGCCUGCCAGCUCUGCUGCCACCCAGGAACAAGACUGGGCAAGGCACCCUGAGCAAGCUCCAUCUUACCUAAAUUUGUGGAUUAUCAGAGCCGGGUGGGGUUUCAGAAGUCAUCUGUUUCCACCCCCCGAAUCCCUCUCCCCUGCUACUCCCUUUAAGGUCAGAAGUGAAAACCAAGGCCCACAAGCUAAAGAAAUACUGCCAGUAAAUUAGGGCAAACCUGGGAGCUGAGAGCCAUCACAUGACUUCCCUGAGCUUACACCCAGGCUGGCCACGGCCAGCUUGUCCACUCGACAAGGUCUAGUUUAGUUUAGUGGGGUUCCACCCUGAGGGCUUUCAGCCCCGGAAGUGGGACCCUGGCAUGGAGGCGAGAGAAACAAGCUGACCUGCGUGGCCUGGGCUCCUUUCUUCAACUCACCUGCCUCCCACCCUCUGUAGGGCCUGCACAGCACUCGAGAAUGUUCUCAGGAGGCAGGGGAACCACUAGAAGAGACCUCUCAGCUUGGCUUCUAGCUGAAGGGCUGCCCUCCUCUGGGAUCUUUCACCACGAGAAAGAGGGACUUGGAUGGAUGGGACUGGUCAGGGUCAGAUGCCCAAGGCUGCUGGUUCCAAGGCCAGGCUUCACACACUGGUUCUGUGUGUCUGUCCCCCAGGGUUCCUACAUUGACUCCUUCAUUCUUCUCUGAUUCCCUGAGAAGAACCACACUUUACAAGCCUGCAAGGUCAUGGUUGGGGUCACGAUGAAUUAUGACUAAUGGUGGCAAUAAAAGUAGCCCCACAGGCCCCAGGAGUGACCAGAUGGCCUUCCCUGCCCUGGGUCAGCUGCCUUGGUACUAUCUUGGGAUGAGCCAGAUGGUGUGGGACACACUUGUUCCUCCAAAGCAGAGCCCACCACCCCCUUCUUUAAAGCCCCCAGGGGGCAGAGUCCAUCUACAGAGGUCUCCUCAUUCCAGGGUCUCUUGGAAUAUACCCUUGGAGCCGGUUUAGAAGCCACUCAAGAAAAUUCAUUCCUUUCGAUUCCAUGACCACAUUUCUGCCACAAAAUGGAACUCCCCAGCUCCCGGAGACCUGUGGCUGUUUGAGUAGGUACCAAUAGAGUAGAAGCUAGGAGGGUACCAGGUACCUCUAGAAAUAAGGUGGUGGAUGGCUCUCAAUAGUGACACUGUGAGUGGUAUUCCAGGCCCUUGUUCCAGGUCCUUCGCAUCCAUUGCCUUCUUUGUCCUCUGACCCUUCAAAGCAUUAGGAGAGGCCACUGCUGCAGAGAGGGAGUCAAAGGGAGGGGUCAGGGCUCUGCUGGCAAUUCCUGAGAAGGUCAAGAUCAUUUGAGGAAGGCAGCGUCCCCCACCUCCCCAGGGGAAAUUUUGAAUGACAUGGUUCAUGCGGGUGCGUGAGUUCAAGUAGGUUCUUGGAGGGGUUUUCCCUUGGAGUUAUUUUAUAUCCCAGCUGGAGCCUGGUGUCAUGCCAUGCCUGGGAACACGAGGACUGGGGCAGGGGUCACUGACAGGCCAGACCGCCCUGAGGGGAGACGCAGUUCACCUGGAAGUGUGUGCACACCCCCACAUGCACACAGCCGGUGACUUAGCUGACCUGACCCUGCUUAUCCUGUCCCAGCGGUCACUCCCAGGACUCAGCGCAGGCCCGGGCCGGGGUAGACGCCUCACCCCAACUCCAUGCCGUGGUGCUCGGCCUGUGCUGGCCAGUGGGUUGUGCAACCCAGCCAUCUCCCCACUUGCCACCUGCGCCAACAGCCCAGG
Bos taurus (domestic cattle) is the source of this 1783-nucleotide long non-coding RNA. The record is from Ensembl. NCBI's taxonomy places the organism in Eukaryota, Metazoa, Chordata, Mammalia, Artiodactyla, Bovidae.